Molecule: long non-coding RNA, 972 nt
Organism: Eurytemora carolleeae
Lineage: Eukaryota; Metazoa; Arthropoda; Copepoda; Calanoida; Temoridae
Exons: 4
Source: RefSeq, a predicted model, not a curated record
UAAGAAACAAGUUUAAGGUGGAAGGAAGGAUGAAGUAGGACGGAUAGAAAGGCAAAUAUAUCCAGGCAGUAGAACUAGUAUACACCACAAUAUAACAUCUAGGCAUUCAAGCAGUAAACACUUCAAGCAACAGUACUUAGUUCGGACCUGUAGUGCAAUAUUGUGACAAUCUCAUACAGAAAUUAAGAAGACUCAAGAUUAAUCGAGUUUUACGGGGAAAAUAUGCUAGAAAUUCAAUAUGGCGCUCAACGAAGAGUUUAAUAGAAGAGGCGGCCGGAGGACGUGAGGCCUGGUUCAGUCAAGGCCAACCUCUGAGCGUUGAGGAUGUAAACUACCAGCCUCGGAGGAGAAAUCUACGAAAUUAUUUCAUAUAAAUCCACGAGAUGAAUGUACACUAAACGUUGUUGAGAUGAAUAAGCUUGGUAAAGUGUUGAGCUGGAAUGAAUAUUAGGAUUAUAUUUAGGAUAAUUAUUCAGUUUGAUACGAGAUGGUCGUUUACAGAGUUAGUUCUUCAAUAUCUUAUAGAACUAGAACUAUCAUCACACAACAUUUUUUACUCCUCAAUCCUCCAUAGAUAGAUAUAGAUCUAGAACUCUCCACUCUUCUAUCCUCCAAAGAUAGUUAUAGAUCUUGAACUCUCCACUCUUCAAUCCUCCAAAGAUAGAUAAAGAUAUAAAAUUGCAAAACUCAAGAUUAAAUAUUAUUUAUUCUUUGUGUAAACAUCAGGCUUUCCUUGACUAAUUAUGAAGCUACAGGUCCUGAUAAGCAACCCUAUUUAAAUGUAUGUUAAACAUCUAGUCUAUCAACCUUUCAUUAAAUUCCGAGCUUCCCAAUCUGUCAUUUUAAUCUAAAUACCUCUCUCAUUAAUCAAUGUAAUAUAAGAUUAAAAUUUAUCAAUCAACAUUUAUAAUUAUUGUUAAACUUUGUGAUUUUCUCUUGUAUUUGUUUAUAUUUGUUACAAUAUAUGAUGGU